Molecule: unclassified non-coding RNA, 143 nt
Organism: Fukomys damarensis (Damara mole-rat)
Lineage: Eukaryota; Metazoa; Chordata; Mammalia; Rodentia; Bathyergidae
Source: Ensembl
AAGUUCUGCGGACUGCUUUUUCCUGGAAGUUAUUUUUGGUGAUUUUUUUUUUUUUUUAGUGAUUUUUUGGCGUGGUCUUAGUGGUGCUAUACUCUUGGACAGGUUAUCCUGUCUCUCCUACUAGAUUGAUGAGAUCAGGUAUC